Molecule: long non-coding RNA, 244 nt
Filed under: Manihot esculenta (cassava)
Lineage: Eukaryota; Viridiplantae; Streptophyta; Magnoliopsida; Malpighiales; Euphorbiaceae
Description: long non-coding RNA (MESC_LNC002929)
Source: RNAcentral
UCUCUAAAAAGCUAGAACCCUUGACAACUUUUCCUGAACAGCCUACGAGUCUAUAGGGUUGAUACUAAACCUCUAGGUAUCCCUAUUCUGUCCCCUCUAAGGACUACCUCUGAUCCAUCCUGACCUCUGAACCUGACUACCUUGCCUCUGCAGACUAGGUAGUACCACUAGUAGAAGAACCAAUCCAACCCUAGAAUGACGUCAAACAGUCAAAUCUAGAACCACUAGGCCAGCUGGAAGGCAU